Long non-coding RNA from Arabidopsis thaliana (thale cress), 317 nucleotides. RefSeq annotates it as other RNA. Lineage: Eukaryota; Viridiplantae; Streptophyta; Magnoliopsida; Brassicales; Brassicaceae. The transcript has a single exon. The record is from RefSeq.
ACCAAACGCGUGUUGAGCGCGUGUAUACGUUUUCUGUGGGUUCUAACCCACCAAAUGGCUUGUUUUGAAACACACUCGCCUCUUUCAAAAAAAGCCUCGAGUGUGUGAUUUCAGUGUUUUUCUCCUUUAAUUCCAAUUCAAACCCAACCGAAAUCAAUUGAAUUUUUCAAAACCAUGUAAACCGAACCGAAAUAAAAACACAAACGACAAACUAUUAAUUGUCACUUCCACUAUUGAUCCAACUCCGACGAACCAGAUUGAUAAUUUUGAUUCGAUUCCACACAGAUAACAUAUAGUCCAAACCAAAUGCAAUUCAC